This 447-nucleotide transfer RNA is filed under the name Acer tataricum subsp. semenovii. Its description in RNAcentral is "partial transfer RNA-Leu". The stretch from base 398 to 447 matches the Rfam family "tRNA", at positions 1 to 48 of the family's 71-position model. Lineage: Eukaryota; Viridiplantae; Streptophyta; Magnoliopsida; Sapindales; Sapindaceae. The record is from RNAcentral.
AAAAUCCGUCGACUUUAGAAAUCGUGAGGGUUCAAGUCCCUCUAUCCCCCCAAAAAGACCGAUUUGACUAUUUCUCCUACCCUCUCUUUUUUUUAGUGGUUCAAAAUCCGUUCUCUUUCUCAUUCAUUCUACCUUUUUACAAACGUAUCAGAGCAGAAUUUUUUUUUCUUUUAUCACAAUCACAAGUGGUGUGGUAUAUAUGAUAUACGUACAAAUGAGCAUCUUUGAACAAAGAAUCCCGAUUCACAAUUCAUAUCAUUGCUCAUACUGAAACUUAUAAAUUAUUCUAUUCAAGAAAUCGAAUUCCACGCUCAAGACUUUUAAUACCUUUUUUUAUCUUUUUUAAUUGACAUAGACCCCAGUCAUCUAGUAAAAUGAGGAUGAUGCGCCGGUAAUGGUCGGGAUAGCUCAGCUGGUAGAGCAGAGGACUGAAAAUCCUCGUGUCAC